RNAcentral lists this ribosomal RNA (490 nucleotides) under uncultured bacterium. Its description in RNAcentral is "bacterial SSU rRNA". It matches the Rfam family "Bacterial small subunit ribosomal RNA", at positions 17 to 518 of the family's 1533-position model. The record is from RNAcentral.
UCCUGGCUCAGGAUGAACGCUGGCGGCGUGCCUAACACAUGCAAGUCGAGCGGAGAUAGGUUGAAGCCUAGCGAUUCUUAUCUUAGCGGCGGAUGGGUGAGUAACACGUGGGUAACCUGCCCUGUACUGGGGGAUAACAGCUGGAAACGGCUGUUAAUACCGCAUAUGCGCACGGAGCCGCAUGGCCCUGGGCGGAAAGAUUCAUCGGUACAGGAUGGGCCCGCGCCGGAUUAACUUGUUGGCGGGUAACGGCCCACCAAGGUGAUGAUCCGUAGCCGACCUGAGAGGGUGACCGGCCACAUUGGGACUGAGACACGGCCCAAACUCCUACGGGAGGCAGCAGUGGGGGAUAUUGCACAAUGGGGGAAACCCUGAAUGCAGCGACGCCGCGUGAAGGAAGAAGUAUUUCGGUAUGUAAACUUCUAUCAGCGGGGAAGAAGAUGACGGUACCCGCACAAGAAGCCCCGGCUAACUACGUGCCAGCCGCCGC